Tachysurus fulvidraco (yellow catfish) is the source of this 1077-nucleotide long non-coding RNA. RefSeq lists it as uncharacterized. The transcript is spliced from 4 exons. Lineage: Eukaryota; Metazoa; Chordata; Actinopteri; Siluriformes; Bagridae. The record is from RefSeq and is a predicted model, not a curated record.
CUCGUGCAUUACAUCUGCAUCACCAACUCACUGAAGCGAUUGCAUUUACAGAUCUCACUGCAUUCUGACUCCAUGUGCGCGCACCUGCCAUGCGAGUUUUCACUUCCGCGUCACUCGGCAUGGCACUCGACUACACUACAAGGAUCUGGCUGUAGUCACUACUGAUCAGGAAAACCACAGGAUCCAUGAACUCAUAGGGAAAAACUAUACUUGGAUUGGGAUGUACAGAGCCAGCCCAAAUGUUUUUAGUCUUGGUGAAGGAGAAAAAGACAUGGGAAGAAGCUUUUCACUAUUGCAGAAUGAAUUACACUGGCCUGGCAUCCAUGGCAUCUGAUACAAAAUUACAGUUGGCUGAAAUGGAGAGCAAUAACGCCCAAACAGACAGGAUCUGGACUGGUCUGACCUUCCUAAAUGGAAAGUGGGUUUGGGUAAGCAGAGAACCAUUGGGGAAAUUGGUCUCCCUGCCAUCAUGUCCAGAUCAACGCUACCGCUGUGGUGCUCUCAACAACAAAACGCACCAUUUGGAGAACAGAGACUGCAAAGAGAAGCUUAAUUUCUUCUGCUAUUACUAAGGCGUUCCAUAGGAUGCACAGUCAUCGCCAAGAAGAAUAUGAGCAAAAUACAAUACAACAAUCUCACCAGAACUGGGUUUGCAGUGUGUUUAGGUCUGGUUUAUUCAAGUGGAAAUAUUAUUUUAUGCUCUUGUAGUGUGGAAAAAGAAUUUCUGAUGCACAGAAAAUUGGGAAAGGUGUUGUUUAAAUAUAUAUUCUUUGAAAUCCAUGUACAAAAUGCAUUAUGUACUUAUAAUUAUUUUGUCUUUGCUUUCUGGUUAAAAAAAAUCUAUUUGAGAAUAUCUUCCUUUAGGACAACAAAAAACAUUGAUAUGUUUCGUCCUUUCAUAGCGUUAAAGUGGCCAAAAUUAUCUGAUGUGGUUACUGUUACUCUUUGUCAUUUCUUUGGUCACAGUAGUUCUAAUUCUACUAUCAUGUAAACCUGAAUGUGGUGGGAAUGUGAUAAAUCUGUAAUUAUAAUAAAUAUAUUGUAAAAACAAAUAAAGUAAUUGUGAUUUAACCCCAA